AUGAUGAGCAUGAAAAAAAAAAUGUUUGAAAAAGAGAAUGAGGAUUUCAAAGAAGAGGUUUUUAAACUGCACAAUGAGAUUUCGCGUCUCGAAAAUGCUCUGAAACACUCUGAAAAAAGAAACUAUUUAUUAGAUAAGCAAGUUCAAAGAAUGCGGUCAAAAAUGGACACAGAUGAGCAACUGUUCAAAAGGUGGGACUUGGAGUCUGGAUCUUCCUCCUGUGCCCAGGCAGCCAAGCUGUGCACUACCUGUGUUCUCUCUAAUUUCUCUCAAAGCAUCAUAAGGGAUGACAAGGACUGAGUUUUUCGUAAGGACUGGAACAAUUUCCCAGGGUUCUGAUCUCUGAACUUGAGGACCUUCAAACCUGUAGCUCCAUAUACCAAUGAUUUAAUUGCUAGUUUACACUGUGUUCUGGUGGGAAAAUACUCUCUUUAAAGCUGGAUACAGGGAGAGCAAGCAUAGAAGAGCCAUAAUUUCUAGGCUGCAUGUUAGGAUGCUCAGCAUAGAGGAAGGGACGUUUCUAUAGUUUGUUCUCAUUCUUCAGAUUUUUGCUGAGUAUUUUUGCUUGGAUUUAGGGGUGGGUGGGGGAGGCAUGUUUUGUAUAUUGUUUUCUUGAAAUUCAUAGUCUAAUGUAAAAUGCAUAAAUGAACUAGCAAGUCAAAACACAAGGUUGUCCCUUUCUCAUGCAGUCACAGCUUUGGUAUGUCAUCAAGCUCAUGC
RNAcentral lists this long non-coding RNA (720 nucleotides) under Falco tinnunculus (common kestrel). Its description in RNAcentral is "lncRNA (ENSFTIG00000010040.1)". The record is from RNAcentral. Lineage: Eukaryota; Metazoa; Chordata; Aves; Falconiformes; Falconidae.